UCCCCUUCGAUCCCUUGCUCGCUGCUGCUGCCACGUAAGAAGUGUGUUGCUUCCCCUUCGUCUUCCACCAUGAAUAACAGAAUGGCAAUUUUCGUGUGGUGUUAAUUUCCGUGGAAGAAGAAAAGGCUCGACUCUCUGUCCUAUUUUUCAUGAAUACUGGAAGUAGGGAAUAAACCUGGAGUCUCACGGGUGAAAAGAGACAUUUCCAUAUCACCAGACCACAAACGUGGGUGUUGAUUCUAAGGAUACCCCCAAUAAACAUCUUUCGUGCUAAAGCCCAUUCCAGAAUUUACUUCCCAGCUAUCUUUGAUGUUCAUAUUGUCAGAGGUGGUGGCCGCUGAAACAGGCAAAGACAUGGAGCAUAUCUUGGGUCCAGGACCUUGGGAGUCCAGAGGAAGGUCUUUUUACCAUCAGCAUUCUCUACUGUGUUCAAUGACUGUCAGCCAAAGAUGGCCAGGUUCUCUACUGUGAUGGUGAAUUUUAUGUGUCAAUUUGACUGGACCAUGGGAUGCCCAGGUACUUGGUGAAACAUUUCUCUGAGGAUGUCUCUGGCUUUCCUUCAGAAAGAAAUGCAUUCAAAGAACCUACAUUCACAACAUAAAGAAAUAAAGCCUGCACCUACAGAUCUACACACAUGCCCAUGCACAUGCAGGAAGUGUUCAUCUAAGACUGGACCUUUUAGAAGAAAGCUGGCAUACAUUCGUGAAGGCAUGGGCUUCCAGGCAUGUCAUCUUCACUCACGAAGCACACACAAGACCGCCAAGCAUUAAGAUUCUCCUGUGGAGCCAGGCUACAAUCCUUUAAAUGAAGACAGACAGCUAGGUGGCUGCAGCCCAGCGCUACACCUCACCCCUCCCUCAGUGUCAUGCAGAAAAAAUGUAUUCAGAACUCAGAAGUGAAGUUGUGCAAAUCCAUCAUUGACACUAGCUUCAAGGUUACCUCGGGGGAGCAGAAUGUACCCCUGCCAGAGAGCUGGAUAGAUGAUGAUGGGGACAGAAAUUCUGGGGGAGUUGUAAAUGGCAGCCACUGCCUCUAUAGGAAACCCAAAGGGAACACAGCAGAAGAGGAGGUGGUGGAGGAGCCACUGCCCUCUCGAAGGGUUCAAUGUCAUUCUGCAGACACAACCAAAUAACUUUUUCUUCCCUGCUGCUCCUCCAUUUGAAAUGACAGCCCCGAGCUCGCUUUUUCCUUGAUUGUGUAACUCUGAUUACAGACAAGGCCAAGGCAAUCCCAGGGCAUUACUACAAAGCUAAGGGGUCCCCAAAGAACUAAAGAGUCAGCUCCACAAAAAUCCCGAUUCCUAGCAUGAAACUGAAAUAUGAAACCAAACGGGCAUAGAAAAGGUAUGUGCAUUCGAAUCACAUAGCAGUGACUGGAGUCCUGAGCUGUGUCUGAAGACUGUGAGAUCACGUUUGGAGCUGCUGAUUGGUUUUCAGUGAUGGCCCUGUUGCACAGUGCCGUGAGACUUAGCUCCAUGGCCAAAGACGAUGGUAUCCCCUAGGAGCCCUGUGAGGUUGCUGCUGUUCUCUUAAGACACCAGGUAGCCAUCUGAUCCUCCCUGAGCAAACUAACUGGGCAGACAGGUUUAUUAAACCUCUGUUGGUCCGACUUACAUGAAACAAGAGAGUUAUUUUGUUGUUGUUGUUUUGUUUUGUUUUAAAUUAAACCUGUCUUUGGAGCCUCCU
Molecule: long non-coding RNA, 1685 nt
Organism: Homo sapiens (human)
Lineage: Eukaryota; Metazoa; Chordata; Mammalia; Primates; Hominidae
Product: long intergenic non-protein coding RNA 922
Source: Ensembl